GAGGGGGAAAAGACAAGGCUGAUUGGUUCCCAUGUGGGAUUGUUUAGCUGUCAUAGCUGUAAAAUUUGCUGUUAUAUGAAGUAUGGAGAUAGGAAUGAAGCAUUGCUAAUCAUGCUUUGCCUCUCCUUCUUCCUAACUUCUCCCCUCUCCCUCUACUUCUCUCUCUACCCUUCUAGUCAUGUGAUUGCAUCUCCUAUCCACCUAUGAGCAAAACGUAUCCCCACCCAAUUA
RNAcentral lists this unclassified non-coding RNA (231 nucleotides) under Hevea brasiliensis (rubber tree). The record is from RNAcentral. Lineage: Eukaryota; Viridiplantae; Streptophyta; Magnoliopsida; Malpighiales; Euphorbiaceae.